This 254-nucleotide ribosomal RNA is filed under the name uncultured bacterium. RNAcentral describes it as "partial 16S ribosomal RNA". It matches the Rfam family "Bacterial small subunit ribosomal RNA", at positions 524 to 776 of the family's 1533-position model. The record is from RNAcentral.
UACGAAGGGGGCUAGCGUUGCUCGGAAUCACUGGGCGUAAAGGGUGCGUAGGCGGGUCUUUUAAGUCAGGGGUGAAAUCCUGGAGCUCAACUCCAGAACUGCCUUUGAUACUGAAGAUCUUGAGUUCGGGAGAGGUGAGUGGAACUGCGAGUGUAGAGGUGAAAUUCGUAGAUAUUCGCAAGAACACCAGUGGCGAAGGCGGCUCACUGGUCCGGUACUGACGCUGAGGUGCGAAAGCGUGGGGAGCGAACAGG